AGCGUACACGGUGGAUGCCCUGGCAGUCAGAGGCGAUGAAGGACGUGCUAAUCUGCGAUAAGCGUCGGUAAGGUGAUAUGAACCGUUAUAACCGGCGAUUUCCGAAUGGGGAAACCCAGUGUGUUUCGACACACUAUCAUUAACUGAAUCCAUAGGUUAAUGAGGCGAACCGGGGGAACUGAAACAUCUAAGUACCCCGAGGAAAAGAAAUCAACCGAGAUUCCCCCAGUAGCGGCGAGCGAACGGGGAGCAGCCCAGAGCCUGAAUCAGUGUGUGUGUUAGUGGAAGCGUCUGGAAAGGCGCGCGAUACAGGGUGACAGCCCCGUACACAAAAAUGCACAUACUGUGAGCUCGAUGAGUAGGGCGGGACACGUGGUAUCCUGUCUGAAUAUGGGGGGACCAUCCUCCAAGGCUAAAUACUCCUGACUGACCGAUAGUGAACCAGUACCGUGAGGGAAAGGCGAAAAGAACCCCGGCGAGGGGAGUGAAAAAGAACCUGAAACCGUGUACGUACAAGCAGUGGGAGCACGCUUAGGCGUGUGACUGCGUACCUUUUGUAUAAUGGGUCAGCGACUUAUAUUCUGUAGCAAGGUUAACCGAAUAGGGGAGCCGAAGGGAAACCGAGUCUUAACUGGGCGUUAAGUUGCAGGGUAUAGACCCGAAACCCGGUGAUCUAGCCAUGGGCAGGUUGAAGGUUGGGUAACACUAACUGGAGGACCGAACCGACUAAUGUUGAAAAAUUAGCGGAUGACUUGUGGCUGGGGGUGAAAGGCCAAUCAAACCGGGAGAUAGCUGGUUCUCCCCGAAAGCUAUUUAGGUAGCGCCUCGUGAAUUCAUCUCCGGGGGUAGAGCACUGUUUCGGCAAGGGGGUCAUCCCGACUUACCAACCCGAUGCAAACUGCGAAUACCGGAGAAUGUUAUCACGGGAGACACACGGCGGGUGCUAACGUCCGUCGUGAAGAGGGAAACAACCCAGACCGCCAGCUAAGGUCCCAAAGUCAUGGUUAAGUGGGAAACGAUGUGGGAAGGCCCAGACAGCCAGGAUGUUGGCUUAGAAGCAGCCAUCAUUUAAAGAAAGCGUAAUAGCUCACUGGUCGAGUCGGCCUGCGCGGAAGAUGUAACGGGGCUAAACCAUGCACCGAAGCUGCGGCAGCGACGCUGAUGCGUUGUUGGGUAGGGGAGCGUUCUGUAAGCCUGCGAAGGUGUGCUGUGAGGCAUGCUGGAGGUAUCAGAAGUGCGAAUGCUGACAUAAGUAACGAUAAAGCGGGUGAAAAGCCCGCUCGCCGGAAGACCAAGGGUUCCUGUCCAACGUUAAUCGGGGCAGGGUGAGUCGACCCCUAAGGCGAGGCCGAAAGGCGUAGUCGAUGGGAAACAGGUUAAUAUUCCUGUACUUGGUGUUACUGCGAAGGGGGGACGGAGAAGGCUAUGUUGGCCGGGCGACGGUUGUCCCGGUUUAAGCGUGUAGGCUGGUUUUCCAGGCAAAUCCGGAAAAUCAAGGCUGAGGCGUGAUGACGAGGCACUACGGUGCUGAAGCAACAAAUGCCCUGCUUCCAGGAAAAGCCUCUAAGCAUCAGGUAACAUCAAAUCGUACCCCAAACCGACACAGGUGGUCAGGUAGAGAAUACCAAGGCGCUUGAGAGAACUCGGGUGAAGGAACUAGGCAAAAUGGUGCCGUAACUUCGGGAGAAGGCACGCUGAUAUGUAGGUGAAGUCCCUCGCGGAUGGAGCUGAAAUCAGUCGAAGAUACCAGCUGGCUGCAACUGUUUAUUAAAAACACAGCACUGUGCAAACACGAAAGUGGACGUAUACGGUGUGACGCCUGCCCGGUGCCGGAAGGUUAAUUGAUGGGGUUAGCGCAAGCGAAGCUCUUGAUCGAAGCCCCGGUAAACGGCGGCCGUAACUAUAACGGUCCUAAGGUAGCGAAAUUCCUUGUCGGGUAAGUUCCGACCUGCACGAAUGGCGUAAUGAUGGCCAGGCUGUCUCCACCCGAGACUCAGUGAAAUUGAACUCGCUGUGAAGAUGCAGUGUACCCGCGGCAAGACGGAAAGACCCCGUGAACCUUUACUAUAGCUUGACACUGAACAUUGAGCCUUGAUGUGUAGGAUAGGUGGGAGGCUUUGAAGUGUGGACGCCAGUCUGCAUGGAGCCGACCUUGAAAUACCACCCUUUAAUGUUUGAUGUUCUAACGUGGACCCGUAAUCCGGGUUGCGGACAGUGUCUGGUGGGUAGUUUGACUGGGGCGGUCUCCUCCUAAAGAGUAACGGAGGAGCACGAAGGUUGGCUAAUCCUGGUCGGACAUCAGGAGGUUAGUGCAAUGGCAUAAGCCAGCUUGACUGCGAGCGUGACGGCGCGAGCAGGUGCGAAAGCAGGUCAUAGUGAUCCGGUGGUUCUGAAUGGAAGGGCCAUCGCUCAACGGAUAAAAGGUACUCCGGGGAUAACAGGCUGAUACCGCCCAAGAGUUCAUAUCGACGGCGGUGUUUGGCACCUCGAUGUCGGCUCAUCACAUCCUGGGGCUGAAGUAGGUCCCAAGGGUAUGGCUGUUCGCCAUUUAAAGUGGUACGCGAGCUGGGUUUAGAACGUCGUGAGACAGUUCGGUCCCUAUCUGCCGUGGGCGCUGGAGAACUGAGGGGGGCUGCUCCUAGUACGAGAGGACCGGAGUGGACGCAUCACUGGUGUUCGGGUUGUCAUGCCAAUGGCACUGCCCGGUAGCUAAAUGCGGAAGAGAUAAGUGCUGAAAGCAUCUAAGCACGAAACUUGCCCCGAGAUGAGUUCUCCCUGACUCCUUGA
Molecule: ribosomal RNA, 2787 nt
Filed under: Escherichia coli
Lineage: Bacteria; Pseudomonadati; Pseudomonadota; Gammaproteobacteria; Enterobacterales; Enterobacteriaceae
Description: bacterial LSU rRNA
Rfam family: Bacterial large subunit ribosomal RNA
Source: RNAcentral